Xyrichtys novacula (pearly razorfish) is the source of this 22020-nucleotide non-coding RNA. The record is from the annotation of a GenBank genome assembly. Lineage: Eukaryota; Metazoa; Chordata; Actinopteri; Labriformes; Labridae.
GAAACUCGCUGUUGUUGUUCCGGAUCCAGAGUCAGUAAGUGUUGAAGCUUUCCUUUGACUCUGUGGACCCAGAAGCUUCUGAGUCCUCAGAGUAAACUACAGUAAAAUACUGUUUUCUGCCUGAACCGCGGUAGUUGGCGAGUAUUUGACCAAAAUUAGCGUUUCAAGAGUCCUUUAAAACUUGAGUUACAGUGACGGUGAUAUUAGAUUUUUAAAGGUAUAGCUCGUUCAAGUACUUUUUACCGUAAACAGUGCUGAACUCUGGGUCACAGACCUGCUGAUCACGUUUUCGCAGCUCAUUUCCUUGUAAUGAGAGGACGGAGCGCGCAAAACGCGAGCCAAUGGAAGCCUGUGGGCCAUCAACACGUGAUCAAUCAGUACGUUUAGUCACCGAGAGAACUCUUAUUAAUCUGCAUUUUUAAUGCAGUUUAUUCAUUUUUCACAGUUGAUAAGAUGUUUACCACAUUAAUAAAAAAGAAAAACAAUCUGUUUUUUUUUUUUUUUGAAGAAUAGAUAUUAUUCAAUAACAGUCCGUCAUUCUUCCAAGAGUACCCAGAUGCAGCGCCAAGAUGGCGGACCCAAAGAUAAAAAACCACAUUUACAAAACGCAAUAAGUUUCCGCAUUACCUCCGAUUGGCGGACCCAAAACAUGAACUUUGAACUUCUGCUUUGCGAUGCCAGAACAGUAGGUGGCGGUAUGUACCUACACUUUCUGACGGCAAAAUUUACAGAAGAAGAAGAACUCUCAGGAAGUUUGAAAAGAAGCAAGCCGUCCGCAUUCAUUCAAUCUCACCUCCGACCACUCAAACUAACCCUAACCCUGCAUUCCAUUGUUUCCAUCAUGGGAAAUCUAAGUGACGCUCUCAAAUUAACAGGAACAUUGCGCAGAAGAUAUGUCCUGGGCAAUGGACUGAGAAAACGGGCAGAGAUUUGGAGGUAUUUGUGCAUGCUCUAUAUUACAGUUGAAAAGUGUAUAACAGCUUUCCAAUGCUGUUACUUGUGGCGAACACCUUUUUGCUUGAGUUGAUGCGUGCCCGCAGGUGGAAUAAUGUCACAUGUCACACACAUUUUCUGUCGUUUUGAUUUAUUUACUCAUUCAUCAUUUUAUGUGCGCACCUCUCCUAAUCAACCCACCCAUUAAAUAGACGGGCACAAUAGCACCAUCUGCUGGCACAAAAAAUACAUAACAAUAAACUGCAAAACCCCAAUCUGGCUCCUACAAAGUGUAUGUGACAAGAUGAUUAACGUUUGCUUUUGUUAAAUCAGGGCUUCCCCAGCCAGGACUUCGGCUCAGACUGUGGCAUAUUCAUGUUGAUGGUAGGUCAUAACGAGCUGUAAUGCACAAAUAUUGUAUCUAGAAUAACUUUCCAACAUGGACUUUUUUAAAGUUAUCUCACAUGUUGUCUCAUAAUUUUUUUUUUAAAGUCUGCCAUGUACAUCGUUAUGGAGUCACAGUUUGACUACUCAGUUGUAAGUACUUUUCAACACGCAGUGUCAUCCUCAAGAUUGUAUUUUGUAUUGUGCACUAAAAUGAAAUACAAACAACAAUUUCAGCAUGACAUGCCUGUUUGGCGGCGAUGGUGGUGCCUGUUGCUCCUGGAGAACAAUUCUUUGAACAGGUAGACAGUUUAAGUAAACUAGAUGUCCUAAUUAACUGGAAGACAAUCAAUAUAUUGUACUUAAAGACAUAUUGUCAUUACAGUUGUGGGAAAAUCUUCGCCCACUGGACCAAAGAAUGUCAAGAGCUCAUUGCUGGAAAGCAUACUCCGGUCUUCAGUCUAAAGAGGAAGGCAGAGCAGCAGGACACAGAGGUUAGGAAAUUGCCUUGUAAAAACAGUAUUAUCUCAGUGGGAGUCCUUCAAAAUGCACACAGUUGUAUGGAUCAACAUUGUCUCGAUGUAUUUGGUAAUUGAUGUUACUUUUCAAAUUGCCUUGUCAAGGAAACCAUGACGCAGACGGUAUCGGAUGUCCAAAGAAUGUGCAUGGCAGAUUCAAUGCAAUUCUGUGUCUACCAGACAUCGAACAACACAGGAGAGAGGUGUGUUGCAGACUCAAUUUAAUAAAUGCAAUUAUCGGGGCCUAUUCAGUGAUUUUCCAUGAAGUGACCACUUUUACAUAUAGUUUAAAUGCACGAAUCAUGCAGGAAAAUUAUUUAUACAUUCAAAUGUGCUGCAGAGGUAUAAUCAAUUGGACAGCAUGUUUGUUUGAUAUUAUGUUUGUCUCUCAUUUGAUCAGAUUGCUUUACCCUGAGGUAAACGUCAUAAAAUGGGUCCAGUGCAAGACGUGCAGGGGCUGGCUGCAUCAGGAUUGUGCUGGGAUUGAAAUGGAGCCGUUUGACUGCGGGUGCGAGGACUCCAUUGAGCAUCCUCGGUAUAACAUAAUUUAUCAAGGAAACAUAGUAUCAGUCAAAAAUACGAGGCUCAAAGGAUGAAAAAAUGAGGGCUUGCUCUUUUCUUAUUUCUCUGCAGGAUCAAGGAUGCUGUUGACAGUUGAGGAAUUCAUGCUGUCUUUUCUAAGACACAGAUCAAGGUUGCUUUUGAAUGCACUAUCAGUUGUUAAAGCCACCGUUUCUUUUUCAGAUGAUUACAUUUUUGUCUCUUGCUCUUUGGUUUCAGACAUUACACGAUGAUCUACUGUCUGGAAAGAUCCGCUCCAACAGAAUGUUCCUUUGGAGGAAUCCCGCCACCUCACUCCGACUAAAGCAGCAUCUUAAGAUAAGGACACUAAGUUGGAGUGAGCAGCGCGUAAGUAAAAAUGCCAUCCAUCAUGAGUAUUUUUACUCUCAGGGGUGUUACAUUUGAAAGGUGUUUACUUUCUGUGUUUUUCUUCAAUAGAUGUUCGAGCUCCUGCGGUUCAUUGAGGUGGCAACAAACAUUUCUAAAAAAAUAAAGAGAGGCGAGAUUCAUCUGCUUGAUUUCGUUUUUGACGUCAUGCUCCCAGAGGUGAGUAGAUCAAACUAUAUAGCUUGCUUUGAAAAAUGAUGAUAUUGUUAAGAGGUUGUUCUUAUUCAUUUGGAAAGCUCAAGAACAACAAUUAACCCAUACUGCAUAACUUCAAUUGUUCACAUUAUUUGACUGUUUUUCAGCUUUUGAUCAAAGCACUGAAGGAGCAUGGCAUCAACCGGUUCAGAGCAGAGCUGAUGAUGGCCUGUGGCAACGUGUUUUAAGCCCCCCACCACACCGACGGCAGUGCUGAAUUUUGUAUAUAUAUAUUUUUUUUUACUGUUCACAAUUUUGUUUGGAAAAAAUUAAAGAAAUCUUCAAAGCAGUUGUAUGACAAUUUCCCAUUUCUUUACACAGUCUGUAAUGAUAUCGCUAUUCAAUUGUUUUUGCUAUAUGGCUCUUCUGAACCUUAAAGAGAUCAUGUGACUUGUGUCUCUACAACUAUUGUAUACUUGGAUUUUGCACAGUCAAGCAAUCCUGAAGAGGUUCACCAGGAAGCACACCAUUUCAUAAAUUAUGUCCCUGGUGUAGCAAUCAAGACAACCCUGGGUGUGAAACCCACACAUUCCUCACAGGAAAGCUUCCUUAUCUGGUCCCAGGAAACAGGAUAUAAAUCUUUCCAGACGUGUUUGCACUUUCAGGUUAAAUAAGUGACCCAACAGGAGGUUGACUAAACCUCUGACUCUUCACGAUUGGUCAAUUCGGAGAACAGAGACAGAGUUUUAUUACCUUUCAAACUGACUCCAUUUGCUGACCAUCUAAAUAAACAUUAACGUCUCAACCCAGAUCUCCCAUUUGAGAUUUAGUGUCUUAAAGUGUGUGAACAUACGGACCCUAGGAAAAGGGGGGACACUGACCUCCAGACCUCGGUCGUAAAACCCUGCUCGACCAUACACUGAUAAAGACUGCAUUCCUUUGGUGAAAGAAUACAAAUGACUGAUCAUGACAUCUUAUGCAUUCAGCAAUGUACUAAUCUGUCUAAUCAUGAAAUUUGUGUCAAAAUGAGAUGUUUCCCGUUUUUCUAUGUGCUUCAGAAGCCAAGUUAUCUUAUCUGACAGAAUAAAUCCUUAUUCUUUAGUUCUUUAGACCAACAGCUUUUCAGACUGUUUCAUGAACUUUUAAGAGUUAAAUUUAUUGACUAUGAAUCCUAAGUUUACUCUAAGUAACAGAAAUAGUUUAGAAAUGUUUGGUUUAUAUUGUAGUUGUUUAUUUAGUAUUUUUAACCAUUAGGUGGUUAUAAUGUCAUUGAAUAACCUUAAUGUGAGUAUUUAGAAUCCAUUAUUAAUCAUGAUGAAGUUCAUUCACAUGUGUUUACGCUUUUGUUGUUCACAGUUUCCAUGUGUUACUGUCUGUUUCAUUUCAGAGUAAUUUAGCAUGUUCAAUGUGAUACUUAAAACAUAAUGAGAAUGUUUGAUGUGAUCCUACACUUCAUUCAUAUGUGUUUAGUGUCAAAUUAUUUGUCAUGAAACCAAGCAUUCAAUGAUAUUAAUCAUAGUGAGUGAGUAUCAGAUCUGACUCUUUUACCAGCCAAAAGAAUAAGUUAGAUCAAAUAAUCAAAGACCACACGACCCCUCCUCUGUCUCCUCACACACACGCCGGAGCCACUCCCAGUGUGAAGAAGAUAAAACCAGUGAAGUCGGGUUGCUCACACGCUCUUAUUCCUCUUAUUCCGCUUAUGCUUCUGCUCUUCUGCCCACACCCUUCUGUGGUGCGUUUCUUUAUUUUCUCUUAGAACUUUUUCUUAGUCUUCUAAGUUUUACGCCACGUGUUGAUUCACGUUGAUUUUUCUUUAACAUCGUCUUAGUUCAAGUUUUGAAACUUCAACUUUUUGUGCACAUAGCAAUUCAAGAUUAAGCCUUUGAUUGAUUUUCUUUAAUUUCGCGAAGCCAUUUUUGAAAGUUUUCUCUGCUCUUCGAGCCUCGUUUUUCUGAGUUUUCUGCGUGAUUUCAAAGUCACCUCCGAACGCAAUCCAACAGGCCCAGGUCAUCCUCUGUGCCAGAGUUUUUGAGUGAGACUAAAGAAGUACCCAAACGAGCAUCCACAGGAUCCACAGGCGCUGGCUUUGCUUCGGGCCCGAGUGCUGCAACUCCUGGCUCAUCCUUCGGCUGACUUCAGUCGUCUUCUGAGCUGAACCGCUCGAACCGCCAGUAGCCCCGGACCUUCGGAACCUGCUCCAUCUUCUCCAAGGACCAGUCUCACUUAAGUAUGCAAACCUCCAGAGCUCCAGAGAGGGCUGGUGCUGUCUCAUGCGUUCAUAACUCAGAUAUCCACCUAUUUCUGGUGAUCUUAGAUUCCUCCAAAUCCACAUCCGAGUUUAUCUCGACACCAAAGUUAGUGUAGGUUAAUAUGUUAGCGCAUAUUCACUCACUAUCAUUAACUUUAGUGCUCCUAGCCUGACUCAGAAUCUUUAUUUAUUCACCUAUUAUUAUUUUAUCCUCAUUAUCUUAUCAUCAUUUAUUGCAUGUGUGUUGUACCAUCAUUUAUCCUGUAAUAAACAGAUCAUUAUAUUUGUAAGUUCCUGUCUGUUAGUGUUCUUCCAGAAGUGGAGUCCCUGAAAUUAGAAUUUCGACUUAAGAUAUGAGACUGAUUAAUUAAGACUGACUUGAUGUUUGACUUCUGAAUUAAACUUUUGUUUUCUUUAUUUUCCCACCAUUAAGGGUGGGUGGUGCCCCUUUCAACGAGUGCAUAAAUGUCAUAAUUUGAGAUUAUUAAUCUUCAGACAUUUAUUAUAAAUUCCAAUCGCUACAGUACUAUUUUGGUACGGCCUUGUGAGGCUCAUUUCAACCGCUACAUAUAUUUUGUUGCGACCGUGUGAGGCUCAUUUCAAAUCACUACAUAUUAUUUUGGUGCCCCGUGUGAGGCGUUUCAAACAAAACUUCUGGAUACUAACAGACAACCUAAAACUUAGCCUUCCAAAUUGAUGAGAGAAACUUAUUUCCAGGCUAUUUUAGACUAAAUCACAAUCAAGGCUCUGCUUGCUGAAGUUGCUUGACUAAGUUCUGAUGUUUUCAUGAUCUAUGCAUAAAACCUUUAUGCUCUGUGUUUCACACACUUUUGUACUACAUGCCUGUAGUCUGUGUUUGAGCUGGACAGCGUGAAUGGUUGUUCUGAGUAGCAGUGAGACUGACUCUUCUGCUCUGUCUAGACUGUCCAAUAUUGAAGUGCACGAUUGUUGCGUCGCCGUACGCUUGUAUUUAAGGCCUUUGGCUGAACCCAGUGUUCGCGAUGCUCCGAGCUGUGGUUUCAAGCCCCUGAAGUCUCUGUAGUCUGCUACGAGGUUCUAGUAACUAUAUGGGAUUCAGAUUUCCUCCUUUCCCCUGACAGAUUAGCUACCUGUCACAGGAAACCACUGUAACAGUGGGAGGUUGUUGUUUGAUUGAAUUCAGACAAAAUUUGUGUUCACAAAUCGCCGCAUUUGUGAUUUUUUUUAAAAGUCUGCAGUUGAAUCUGCUGUUGAGGGAUUUGUCACUUUGAUUCUUGUCUCUAUCGUCUGCUACGAAGUUCUAGUAACUAUAUGUAUGGGAUUCAGAUUUCCUCCUUUCCCCUGACAGAUUAACUACCUGUCACAGGAAACCACUGUAACAGUGGGAGGCUGUUGUUUGAAUGAAUUCAGACAAAAUCCGUGAUCACAAAUCGCCGCAUUUGUGAUUUUUUUUAAGUCUGCAGUUGAAUCUGCUGUUUAAGGAUUUGCCACUUUGAUCCUUGUUCCUGUAAAUGAUUUUAUUGAACCAAUCUGCCUGAGCAGAUGGUGUAAAGUUCUAUGUUUGAGGGUGCAGACGCAGCCUGCUGUAAAAUGUUAACCCUUUGUUGUCAGUGGAGAGACUGACCCUUUGGCCUUAAGCAGAUAAGGCCCUUCAAGGAGGCAGAGCCUAAAGGCCCCUUCCUGCACACUUCCCAACUCCUCACAGCCACAAGAGGCUAGUUGGAUGACUGUUUCCUCUUCUCUUCUUCUUCUCCACUUGUGUUGAGCUUGUGCAGUUACCCCAACUCCAUACUGCCCCACAUGGUUGUUUUUGGUAUUGAGCUAACACUGCUAUUAUCUGCCUGCAGUAUCAGCCAGCUGUACUGCCUCUCUGUAGUCAGUGUGUAACACUCUACAGACAUAACUCAAGUGAUUGACUUGGUUGAUGAAGUUUGAUGUGCUUAUUCUAAAUCAUUGAUCAUUGAUUUUUGAUUUUUAUCUUUGUUAUAAGAGCCUACAUAAUGUAUUGAUAAAGUAACUCAUUGAAUCAAUCACCUGAUCUGUUGUUACUUAUCACACCAUUGAGCAGUUUUACUGUUCCCUAUAAUACAUGAAUGUAUUAACCCUCCUCAUAAGAUUAAUUAAUUAAUGAACAAAUUAAUUAAUAUUUGAAAUCUAUUUUACCAUUUCAGAUGAAUUGGGUAGUUGAAUCUUUGGCUUUAUUGCGAUUUGUGAAUUAACUUCAGAGUUAAUUCCUUAAAUUGACAAUUUCAUUGGUUUCAGAUUCAUCCAACUGCAUCAGGCAGUUUAUUUAAGCUUUGCUGAUCUCUGCAACACGGAGACAAUUUGAACCCUUUAUUCAAUGGUUCUGUAUCUGAUGUUAAAUUUAAUUUAACAUUAUUUCACCUUGUUUUAUUUCAAUUUUCAUUGAAAUGAAUUUAACUUUAUGUUAUUUUUCUCUCCAUUAGAGAUCUACUCAGAUAGGCUCUUCCUCUUUAUCAAGCACUGAUAAAUUAAGUCGAUUAACUCACUUAAUUUGAUAUUUUGCUUCUUCUUUUCAUUUUAAGCCAACUCAAACUCAUCAACCAACCACCUGCUCCUCUUUACCAAAACCAAACAUGCCUAACACAAAAGAGUCCAGCCAGGGAGACCCCCUGAGGGACAUACACACAGUGUUAGCAAACUUAACUAGUCAGCUGAUACCUCAGUACAUGACUAAGAUUCAUAAGGCCAAACCCUCCAAUCCGGAGGAUGAAAUGGCUGACUUACUGGAAACAGCCUUAACCACGACACUUCGUGACAAAGAGCUCACUAGAUGCAUGUCUGUCAUGAUGUCUUCUCAGCUUGAGUAUAAAGACUACUUGCUGGAAUGCGCUUUCGCAAAGAUAAAGGCGCAAAAAGAUGAAAACAGCGCUCUGAAAAAGACGCUAGAGGAGACUAAGAAGUCUUUAAGUGUUUUAGAAAAACACAGUGCCAGAUGUGAAGCGUCAAAGCUUCCCUCACUGAUAAGUCAUGAAGAAAAUCUUGAUCUCAAAGACAAGAUUGAAAGACUUAAUGAAAACCUUUACAAAAAGGAGAAAGAACUUGAUGACACGAAUAAGCAGCUUGCUAAGACCACAGAGGAUCUGAUACAGUCAGAAUCCCUACUAGAGCAAGCAACAGAAGAUGUAAAAGCUUUGAAAGCACUGGUCAAAGUGCGUGCUGAAGCUCUUGAAGUUAAGGAGAAGCAAACUUCUACCUUACAGCACCAGCUCAAGAUAGCUCAAAGACAGUUAAUUCUUUGUCAAGAACGGCAAGAAAAGACAGACAAAGAACUUGAAGAUGCCCAAAGAGAGUUACAAUGCUCCCUCCAGUCGGGUCGAGCCCAAAGAGAACGCAUGGAGCAAACUUUUCUUGAAGAAAUGAUAGGUGAUCAGCCUCCUGAGAGAGCGCCAUCACUUCCUUCCAAACCAACUCUUAAGUAUCUCUCUCAGCAUCAUGACAGGACCCUGCUUGACCCUGAGAGGUCAUCCUUAAACCAAGAGUCCUACUCUCCUCCCCAUGAUGGCUUCUUACCAUUUCCCUCAGAUAGGGAUCUUGACAAAAUUGCUCGCAACAUAGCACGCUUUGAACCUGAGCACCAAGGUGCUACUGACACCUGCACCUACUUGAAAGACAUUGACUUUUACCUGAGGAAAUUUCCAGGUGCAACCAUUGAUGACAAAAUCUACCUUAUUAAGGCGACGUCAAGUCGAGAGGUUAGCAGUUUCCUUGAACGACAGCCUUAUCAUGUCAGAAAUAAUUAUGACUUGCUCUGCCAAGCAUUAAUCAAAGAGUUUUCUGAUCAUUUGACCCAGACAGGCCUUUCUGCUGCUCUGUCUAUUAAACAAGGGAGAUCAGAAUCUCCCCAACAUUAUUACAACCGCUUACGCGAAGCUUACUUUGGUUUCCGAAAUGAACCAGAAAUGGAGGAGGACUUGAACUUCAAAACGCUGUUCGUCCAGAACCUCCACCCUACCACCAGUCAUCACCUUGGCGUCUUAGCUUGUCCAAACACUUCGACUAGCCGACAGCUUCGUGAACUUGCUGUAAAAGGUUUUGCCAAACAACGACAAACUUUGGCUAAGAAAGCAGAGUCCGUUACUCUCUUGGCUAUGGAGACAAGAUCACUGCCCAUGGAGCUGAACGAAGCUUCAGACUGUGUAUUUUCAGGCUCCGAUAAGCCUCCAAAUGAGUGGUUAACCAGGCCUUCAAAACCUUUUCGACCGCAACAAACUCACAUAGGUCAAAGUUACACACCAAGGCCCAGUUCUGACACAGACCAACGCCAGGUAAACUUUGAGACCAACCGUUGUUAUUCAGACUCCCGUCACGGUGGGUUUUAUCCCAGACAAAGGAAAAACCAUCAACACCGCCAAAGGGGGGUGAAUGACUGGCAGAAUCAGAGUAAAUUACACUCUCAGAAACGACGAUCUUAUUAUCCACCUCAAUCGGUUUCAUCCACUUUGAAGGUGAAUAAACAUGACUACUCAGCUAACCACUGAGAUUAACACUGUGGAGUCAUGAAGGUGUGAGUCCUGCGAAAGCAGAAGUCACCUAGCCAAAGCUAAAUGACUCCAAUAAGAUAUCCAAAUGCUGUGGUGAUACAUUGAUGACUGCAAUACCAGUUGCUGCUUUCUUUGUUAGCAUUUGUCUCUCCUCUGUCAAUAUAGUCAGCUUGUCAGCUGUCAAAUAUCCCAUGAACAGAUUAAAAGCUGAAAUUUCUGUCACUAAGACUCAGAUUGACAAAUUUCAGACUCAACAGCAGAUAAUUAGUCAAACCGAUAAGAGCAUCAUCCCCAAGUUUAACAGACAAAGUUUAAGAGAAACUCUGUGCAGUAAACUUUUGAUGUUUGUGAUUCAGGUUGACUAUGCUCAUACACAGAUGGUUAAUAUGUCUAUAGCAGACAUUUCUUUUCCACCUAAGUCUUAACCAUUUUUGAAACUGAAAUUGAACUUUCAGACUUCUCCAGCAAGCAUGAAAAACAGCUAUAGCUUUAGAUCCAGUUAGCAUUCAGACUAAAGAGUGCUUUUCUAAAUCUCAUUAAUACUGAAAAUUAGGAGAUUUUCUUUCACAUUAGUCUACCAAUAGUUAACUGAGAAAAGUCUAACACCUAGACGAUUUUAUUUGAUAGCUUAAUGCAUGCUUGAUGUUAUCUUAAAGCAGAUACUAGUGAUUCACAUAGUGAUAAUGAGACGCAUCAGUCCUAUUUGCAUACACCUGCUGCUGCUGCUGCUGCUUCAUGGUUGUCUACUCGUCGUCCCGAUGCUCCAUGGACAGGACCACCGUGACGAAGGGGGGACUGUAGCAAUCAAGACAACCCUGGGUGUGAAACCCACACAUUCCUCACAGGAAAGCUUCCUUAUCUGGUCCCAGGAAACAGGAUAUAAAUCUUUCCAGACGUGUUUGCACUUUCAGGUUAAAUAAGUGACCCAACAGGAGGUUGACUAAACCUCUGACUCUUCACGAUUGGUCAAUUCGGAGAACAGAGACAGAGUUUUAUUACCUUUCAAACUGACUCCAUUUGCUGACCAUCUAAAUAAACAUUAACGUCUCAACCCAGAUCUCCCAUUUGAGAUUUAGUGUCUUAAAGUGUGUGAACAUACGGACCCUAGGAAAAGGGGGGACACUGACCUCCAGACCUCGGUCGUAAAACCCUGCUCGACCAUACACUGAUAAAGACUGCAUUCCUUUGGUGAAAGAAUACAAAUGACUGAUCAUGACAUCUUAUGCAUUCAGCAAUGUACUAAUCUGUCUAAUCAUGAAAUUUGUGUCAAAAUGAGAUGUUUCCCGUUUUUCUAUGUGCUUCAGAAGCCAAGUUAUCUUAUCUGACAGAAUAAAUCCUUAUUCUUUAGUUCUUUAGACCAACAGCUUUUCAGACUGUUUCAUGAACUUUUAAGAGUUAAAUUUAUUGACUAUGAAUCCUAAGUUUACUCUAAGUAACAGAAAUAGUUUAGAAAUGUUUGGUUUAUAUUGUAGUUGUUUAUUUAGUAUUUUUAACCAUUAGGUGGUUAUAAUGUCAUUGAAUAACCUUAAUGUGAGUAUUUAGAAUCCAUUAUUAAUCAUGAUGAAGUUCAUUCACAUGUGUUUACGCUUUUGUUGUUCACAGUUUCCAUGUGUUACUGUCUGUUUCAUUUCAGAGUAAUUUAGCAUGUUCAAUGUGAUACUUAAAACAUAAUGAGAAUGUUUGAUGUGAUCCUACACUUCAUUCAUAUGUGUUUAGUGUCAAAUUAUUUGUCAUGAAACCAAGCAUUCAAUGAUAUUAAUCAUAGUGAGUGAGUAUCAGAUCUGACUCUUUUACCAGCCAAAAGAAUAAGUUAGAUCAAAUAAUCAAAGACCACACGACCCCUCCUCUGUCUCCUCACACACACGCCGGAGCCACUCCCAGUGUGAAGAAGAUAAAACCAGUGAAGUCGGGUUGCUCACACGCUCUUAUUCCUCUUAUUCCGCUUAUGCUUCUGCUCUUCUGCCCACACCCUUCUGUGGUGCGUUUCUUUAUUUUCUCUUAGAACUUUUUCUUAGUCUUCUAAGUUUUACGCCACGUGUUGAUUCACGUUGAUUUUUCUUUAACAUCGUCUUAGUUCAAGUUUUGAAACUUCAACUUUUUGUGCACAUAGCAAUUCAAGAUUAAGCCUUUGAUUGAUUUUCUUUAAUUUCGCGAAGCCAUUUUUGAAAGUUUUCUCUGCUCUUCGAGCCUCGUUUUUCUGAGUUUUCUGCGUGAUUUCAAAGUCACCUCCGAACGCAAUCCAACAGGCCCAGGUCAUCCUCUGUGCCAGAGUUUUUGAGUGAGACUAAAGAAGUACCCAAACGAGCAUCCACAGGAUCCACAGGCGCUGGCUUUGCUUCGGGCCCGAGUGCUGCAACUCCUGGCUCAUCCUUCGGCUGACUUCAGUCGUCUUCUGAGCUGAACCGCUCGAACCGCCAGUAGCCCCGGACCUUCGGAACCUGCUCCAUCUUCUCCAAGGACCAGUCUCACUUAAGUAUGCAAACCUCCAGAGCUCCAGAGAGGGCUGGUGCUGUCUCAUGCGUUCAUAACUCAGAUAUCCACCUAUUUCUGGUGAUCUUAGAUUCCUCCAAAUCCACAUCCGAGUUUAUCUCGACACCAAAGUUAGUGUAGGUUAAUAUGUUAGCGCAUAUUCACUCACUAUCAUUAACUUUAGUGCUCCUAGCCUGACUCAGAAUCUUUAUUUAUUCACCUAUUAUUAUUUUAUCCUCAUUAUCUUAUCAUCAUUUAUUGCAUGUGUGUUGUACCAUCAUUUAUCCUGUAAUAAACAGAUCAUUAUAUUUGUAAGUUCCUGUCUGUUAGUGUUCUUCCAGAAGUGGAGUCCCUGAAAUUAGAAUUUCGACUUAAGAUAUGAGACUGAUUAAUUAAGACUGACUUGAUGUUUGACUUCUGAAUUAAACUUUUGUUUUCUUUAUUUUCCCACCAUUAAGGGUGGGUGGUGCCCCUUUCAACGAGUGCAUAAAUGUCAUAAUUUGAGAUUAUUAAUCUUCAGACAUUUAUUAUAAAUUCCAAUCGCUACAGUACUAUUUUGGUACGGCCUUGUGAGGCUCAUUUCAACCGCUACAUAUAUUUUGUUGCGACCGUGUGAGGCUCAUUUCAAAUCACUACACUGGUUACACAAUGUUACUAAAGGAUGGGGGGGAGUAAAUUUGUGCAGCAACAUAAGCACUCUCAUAAAACAUAAUUAUGAACAACAGAAAAUAUGUGAGGGUCAGGGCAACAUUGUUGACAUUAAACGAGGUCCUAAUAGGAGUGGAGAAACAAGGUCACAGAGAAGUUAAGAAACAUUGAUGUGCUGUGUAAUAAAGCUAUUGGAGAGAAAAGUUAGAAAACACUGUUAUAUGAUGUGUAACGAGAGGUUAAAACAGUCCAUACUUGUAGCAAACUCUUACAAAAGAAUUUGAGUAAGAUGAUAACUUCUACAUACAUUUACCUAUUCUGACAAAUUAUCAGAAUAUGAGGACAUCAGGCUAUAUAUACAUAUUACUGUAAACUUCAGAAUUAAAUCAGAACAAAACAGUAGUCAUAAUUAAUACAUAAACGUUUUAUUUUGAUUUUUAGCUCAAUAAUAAAUUUAAUUCGAUUCUUAUGGAAUGAACGGAGCAAAAAAAAAAGGAUCCGGCGACUAAAUCCGACUACCUGAAGUAUUUCGGCGCCGGAAGUCCGCCAACGAGAAAGCCUUUCCACCGGAAGUAAUUGUUUUGGGUCCGCCAAUCGGAGGAACUUAUUGCGUUUUGUAAAUGUGGUUUUCUAUCUUUGGGUCCGCCAUCUUGCGCUGCAUCUGGUCACCUCUCCAUUCUUCCUGUCCAGAGUGAUGUGGCGGCGCAGUAGCGCCCCCACUGACCAGCCGCCACAGCUACAGGUUCACCUUAAGUUAACUGACCUCCAAACAAGUUUCUUUCAGGCAACAGAUAAGAAGAGAAAUUAUCGAGUCUUUUAAUUUUUUAAUUGAUUGAUUGAAGUUUCUUUCGCAAACCAAAAAUAUCUAUAAAAAAACAAACAAACAAGAAAAGUAAGAGAAAACAUUUAAACAUAAAACAUAGGAAUACAUAUUCGAAAAGCAGUGAGAAGAAUAAUAAUUUAUGAACUCCCACCCCUCCCUUGAAAUAAUAAGUACCCACACCAAACAUUCUUGCAUCUUGUUUUGAUAUUCCUGAUAAUUAUCAUAAAUAAAGUACACUCAUGACUUUAUAUUACAAAACAAAAUCUACAUCCACUUAAUACAGCACACACAUAAAACAACAAAACAAUAUAAAACAAGAAAGAAACAACACAAAACAAAAAAACAAAAACAAAUAAUAACCUCAUAACACUUCCUCAUCCCCAUACCUCUUAAAAAUUGUGUAUUUAUACCUGUUUUUAAACUGUGUCAUGUUUGAACAUUGCUCUAACUCUAAAAUUUAACUGUGACUCUUAAUGGAGCUGAUGUUUUACCCCUGAGCUGAUCAGACUGACAGUAUUUGCUGUUUGGCCUUAAAGGAUGGUUUGUUUCAAGACAGCAGAAAAGUACAGUGGCCUAAAGGGUCAACUGCACAAACAUGAUGCAAAUAACUUUCCCCAGAAAGGCAAACCCAUUUCACAAAAUUCAAAAAUAUAUACUGUAAUAUAAUCAUAUUUUUUCAAAUGUAGAAACAGUAAAAACCAUGUAAGAUGAAAAAUGUUUUAUCACUUUAUUUCAUUAAACUCACAAACAUUGUUCACCUUAAACAUGCGGGUUUGUUUGCUCUGCAUAUAAACUCUGAACAGAUUUAUUUACACACUGUUUGCUGUUCUGUCCUCGUUUUUUCCUGUGUGUUGUUUCCCCUACAGUGCCGCACGUUUUGGUGUUACAGAUUUCCAGAGUAAUAUUUGGAGCGAGUUAAAAACCCUGAGGGGCCAAGAGCAGAGACAGACUGCAGCGAGUCACGGGAGGUUUGCAGGUUUUCAGCUGAUAAGAAUUGCAAAGAGUAAAAAAUAAAAAAAAUACAGAUCAGAUCAGAUCAGAGGGAGAAAUGCCUCCUGCCUCCUCGCAACCCCCCUCGGCUCUGUGGCUCUGUACGACACUUUUUCAGGCUGUUUGACACUCUUUCUGUGUCACUGUACUCGCUCUGUAAAUCUAUUUUUGGCGGGAUGGAGGGAGAAGAGAAAACGGUAGAGAGAUGGAGGGAAAGUGGGAGAAAAAUGUGCAGUUUUUCCAUCACGUGUCAAAAAAUGCAGAUAUUUUUAGAUAGAAACUCCUGAUCAGUAACACUGUGUAUCUUUAUCAACAGAGGCUUUAUAUCAGCCAUGUUUCUCUCAGUCAGGAGGCGACAGUUUCUUCUCAAAUUAUGACUUUAUUUAAUGAAUGGAGAAAGCAGGACAAAUUUUUAGAAAAAAAAUUAAAUAAAGUUUUAAAUAAAGCUUGCUGAUGUGGAAAAUUAGCUUUUUUGAAUGAGUGUGUAUGUGGUCCCCAGUGCCUCUGCAACCAGCCUCUAGUGGACACUCUGGGAACUGCAGGUUUUUAGCAUCUCUGCUGUGGCUUCAUUUCACAAGACUAGAGGUUGCUGCUUGGGAAUAAAGGGAGUCCAAAACGUUGUCGUUCAUGCUCAUAGGGGUUGAAGUGGUUUUGUAAAAGACCUGAUAAACGAAACAGAUGUCUCCUCUGAUAUUAACCAGGAAGGAGAAUUAAACAACAAUUUAUUCAGACAUCUCAAGAUGUCUACAGUUGAUUUAAUGAUUUAAAAGGGGGCAGUAUUAAAGUUUUUCCCCAACCAGGGAGGGUCAGAGUUAAUCCAGGGCUUGAAAAACACAGCAGGAUCUGGUCUUGAUCAGUUGAAAUUAGACGAAUUUGGAAAUCUUGACUUGAUAUAAAGCCUGGUAAGGCCUUUUUUAGACCUGGUUGAUAUGCUGUGCAGUUUAUGUGUAUAACAUAGUAUCUACUGUUCCUUCAGGACUCUGAAAUACUGAGACUCACCAUGAACAGAUAUACAGGCAUUUCCUUGUUAGAUGUAAUGAGCCAAUUCAUAGUGUUUACUGGAGGAUUUUUCUUCCCUUUAAAUCCAAACACAGGGUUUCAUUAGCAGCGCAGCAUAAUAUAGAUCUGUAUCUGAGUGUAAAUGUUCUAUCUAGAGGAGAAUCUGAGCUGAUCUCACAUGAUGACAUCUGUCUAUUAUCAGGUUACUGCUGAUGGGAACUGGGAUAUUAAUACAGAGGGCCGUGUUACGCCUGCUUCUGCUUUCCAGCCAGACUUUAUUUACUGAUAUUCUAAUGUUAGCUCCAUAAAUAGAUAUGAUGUUGGCUCUGUUGAUAAGAACUGUUGGCAGAAGAGAAUACUUUGCUUAGUUUUACACUUUCUGAAGCUGUUUUCGUCCUCUGUGUCCGACUGUUUCUUGUGUUUCAGUGCCAAUCAGAGCUGCAGAUACAGACAACUCCAUCAUAUGUUUAUCAGAGCUUCAGUCCCUCUGCUUCCACACCAGGGAGCCUCCAUCAGCUUGCCGCACAGCAUGCUGGGAGCUCUGGUUCCUCUGCGGCUCCAUCAUUUUCACUUCUCUUCUUGUUCUGUCUGAAACAUCUUCCCUGACAUGGCUCUGUCCUGACUGAAGUGUGUUCUCUCUCUGAUAACAGGUCACGUGAUCUGCAUGAAUUCACGUGGAUUCGGCCGACUUCAAAGAUAGAGGAGGAGUUUGCUCAAAGGAGACCGAGGGCGUGAUAAACGUAUGGAAAUCCCUGACGCUCUUCAGAGCCACUUGUUAUGCCAAUCACAUCAGCUGUUCUUUCAGCCUGACGAGGAAACACGCUCACCUGAACUCCUACAAUUACAAUUCAGACUCACCUUGAGAAGCAGAGGGAAGGUUUGCUCAUCUUAAGAGAGACUCAUGGAUGGCUUACAUCAGACGGGGGUCUACUGAGCAAAGACUCAGGGGCUGGGGGGGAGGUUGGGGCUUUCUAAGGUCUCGGUCUUUCCAACAAAGAAGCUUCUAUUACCCGCUGUUCAAUCACCUUUAAAGAAAAAUAUAAACUCUUUUGAGAUCCUGAAAAGGCUGAACUCACAGGCUCCCCAAUCUCUGUCAAAGACACCUGCACCUUCUUCAGACUCAAUCAUAGCAGCAGAGACGACAGCAGACUCUGAAGACGCUGCGCCUCAAGAAUUAUAAUCUUCUUCUGCUAAAUUGGAGCACGGGCCAUCUUUUUAUUACUUUAAUGACAUGCAGAUCAAUGAAAGUCAUUAAAUCUGAUCAAAUCUGAAAUCAGUUUGUUUUAAAAGGACAAAAAUAUUUCAUUAUUUACAGCCACCAAAAGAUUCAAAGAGUCUCUGUAUAAAUCUCUGUACAGAGGCGACCAAAAUCAAGAUUGAAUGGUCCUGAUUUCGAGGCCCUGAGGCAACACUGCAUUAAAAACAGACAGGGAAAUACUGCAUUUGCUCAAAAACCAUGGCCUGUGAACACAGUUUAUCACUGCAUCCACAGAUGAGGUCAAAACUGAACCAUGAAAAGAGGAAACCAGGUAGGAACAGAGAAACACCAGAGACUGACCAAUCAGAAUCUGACAUUCUCUCUGAUAAUCAUGGUCCUGUGAAUGCAGUUGAUGAAAAUGAAAGGUUUAAGCAUAAAUAAAUGUGAUCUCAUUGAAGAUGGACUGAGGGGAAGAGGAAAGUCAGUUAAGUGCCUCCAAAGUCCAGCAACAAACCGCUGACAGAGACAGUUUGGGAGUGGAUCAUGAAGAUUGAAAAACCAGAUAUCCAAAUAUUUUCCUGAAGAUAGACGGUUAAAACUAGAUGAAUUUUAGUGAAACUAAUUUGUUUUUUCUAAAGCCCUGUGAAAAUGAACUUGCUGAUAAAGAAACAGCUUGUGUGCCAGUGGCCACUGACCCCUCAUCUCUGCUUUGCUGUUUGAUGUUGCAGCGGAUGACACCCUUUGACACUGGCGUGGUGAUCUUAACAGCUCAUAUCUAGCCCUCUGUGGAUGUUUCUCUGAUCCUGGUCGAGCCUCAGGGGGACGACAGAUAAUCACAGAGCUGGCACAGAGUCCAACAUGUGACCCAAACAACCUACGACCAGAUCUUCUCCUCUGAAGUGAUUCAUUUCCUGUUUGGCAGUGCUGCGUCUGGCUUGGCAGCCAAUCGGGGCCUGAGUGGACUCUCCCCCUCUUCAUAACUUUGGAUAACAAGGAGAAACUGUGACCUCUGACCCACAGAAGGACGCCAACCACAGGCCUCAGUCAGGAAACAGGAAACAACAGGUCUAUGCUCAGCUCACGAGGGCCUACCCAUAAUUCUGAGCACGUUUUAUCAAUAUCCAUCUUCACACGGAGGAGUUUCCAAUAUUUCCACGUGUUAGUGAGCUCAGGAGACCAGGUUCAAGAGUCUGACAGUGAAAUGUUGUCCGAUUCAUGCCUAAUAGAGGAUUUCAGCUGCUCAAAGGUUUAGGAUCUCCUCUACUCACUGAACUCUCCUCUACUUUUGAGCGUCAAGGCUUUGGUAGACAACAAGCUGAGGGCCCCUCUGCUCUAUGGUGUGGAGGACGUGGUGUCCAUGAUCUCCAAACAGAAUGUCAAAUUUUGAUUCGGCACAGGACAGUCUGGCAAGACAGAGGCAGUAACAUUCGAGAGUUAAGUUGUAAAGUUAUGAAAAAAGUUUUUAUUUUAGGAAAAAUAAGUCAUACAUUUUUAAGAGUGGCUUCAGGUUGUGUUUUAUUUUGAAAGGGCAGAUCAGAGAGCAGGUGUCGCACGUUUUUAGCCCAUUAGAAAGACUGAUUUUGGAGCCCAGACUUCUUAUAAAUAUCUAAGAUACUAGACUUGGUACUGAAGACUGGGUCAAUGUUUUUAUUUCUUUUGUAGCUCACCAAAAUAAUAUGAAACUUUGAAUUACAGCACAAAAACAGCAUUUUAAUUUGAAUUUAAUUGAGAAGUGUCUCCACACAUGUGCAGUAUGUAAUAGCUAAAGUCAGCCUUGAACAGAUAAUAAAGGAGUUCAUGUUAUUUUGAUGCUUCAGGCUGUUGCUACAGAUCUGUCACCGAGCGGUCACGGCCCUUUGGGGAGAAGGAAUCCCCACAUGUUCAAGUCUGUGUUAGUGUGUGGACUCCCGGGCCUGUAAAACAAACGUUAUGUAACCUGGUGAGCUGCAGACAGUCUGAGCCCAGAGGUAACAGACACAAGGAUCAUCCCUGAUUACUGUUUCUGCUCGUUGGACCACAGAGAGACUGAAAUGAUGUUUUUCUGCACACAUCGUCUCGCUGCCUCUGCUUGACUCGACUCGUUUGGCUCUCAGACUUGUACGUUCUGUCUUUUCCAAUGAGGUUCACAGACUCCCUGAGCAAAACAUAAAAAUAACACUGCAUACCUGUUAAAGCCUUAAACACCAAUGCAGGCAGUAAGUUUGCGCACCAAAAAGCCUUAUGUUCAUUGAUGGAUAAAUGUCUUUUUUUUCAAACGACACACCCAGAAAUAUAACCUUCAGAAACACACUGAUAACAACAGCAGUUUUACCCUGCAGAGUGUGGGAGCUGCUGGUCCACUCCUGCCUAAAUAAGGGGUUGUGUGUGUGUGUUAUUGUGUGGCCCCCAAAUAUUGUGCAGACUUAAACAUUCCUACUGAGCAAUAGACGACUACUAAACGUCUAGUUUUUUUUUAGACCUAUAAUUUCAACCGUCUAGAUUCUGUAUAUUUUUAGACGGAAUUGAGACGUUGCACUUUCACUCAUUACUCAAUAACUAUUUAUGUCAAAAAGCAACUGUGAGUUGCAUAACUGAUCUGUAAAUACUGAACCAAAAAAUUAUGAUAGCCGUUGAGCAAUAUACAGUCAGACCUCCAUUAGCCGGCUAGUCUAAACUUUGUCGAAAUUUAGAUGUCCAAAAAACUUUCAUUUUUAGACCUGUGGUAGCCUGAUUUUAGACCAGUCAUCUAGACUACAUUUAGACAUCUACUGACGUCUUAUAGACCAAAAAAUACUCAGAGGGUGAGAAACACAAAAGCCAAACAACAAGAAAAGACACUACGUUAUAGUGUCAGUGGUAGACCAACAACUCCUGUGUUCUGCCAACCCAAAUUUCUGACAUGACAGGAAUUCAUCCAGUCAGUCAGGAGCAGCUGAUCAGGCUUUUAUGGGCUUUUGUCAACUUCAAGUGAAAUUUGGUCCAGGCACAGUUUAACUGCUGAGCUGUACCUUUGAAUUCUGUAAAGUGUGCAAAAAUGGGCCGUGGUUAAAAGUGUCAGGAUCAUCUGUUUAAUAUGCUGAUGAUGAUGCAAAACUCACCACCAGUUUUUAAAUGUGAUAUGACGGAGAGAUAAACACGUUCCUGAAGAGAAAUGUUCACCUCCUGCAGAUUUUUCACUGACUGUAAAUCCUCAGGUUCGUCAAACACUUGUGGCGCUCUGAGCUGCAGUAUGGCGAGCAUGUGUUUGGCAGUCAGGGUGGCCUUGAAAACAUUUCUGCAAGUGUUUCAGAGGAAUGAGGAGUAUGUGGAUGUUGUGUUUUUAUCUGUGGUUUCUAAAGAAGGACACACUGUGUUCAUGCUUUCUGUCAGAGUGGAGGUUUUAUGGAUUUAUCUCUGUAAAUUUCUGUGCGGUUUUGGCAGAUAUCAGUUGGUGAAUGGAGCUUCAGAAACACACAAACAUGGUCUCAUGUGUUGUGUUGUAAUCUGCUGAUUUACAGUCUAUGAAGGUGACUGUGUCAUUCAGCUGAAACUGGAGAUGGCACGUAUUUCUGAAGCCUCACUGACUGUCCUUGAACCUGUAAGUCUCACCUCACUGCAGAUCUGUUUAUAAGAAAACCGAUCCAAUACAGAAAUAUAGAAACCUCAGAAAUAUCACUGUUUUUGAGAGUAAACACAAAAGUCUUAAAGAGGACUACAGUUCUAGAUUUUUGGGUCUGUAUGAGAUCACUGAUCUAAAGAAGGCUGCUGAACUUGAUGGCCACGUGUUUACAAAAGCUGGACUCUCAAAACCAUCAGUAACAAGCUGAGGACAUCAAAAAUACCCUACCCCCUAAAAUGAUACAUUUAUUUCUCUCAUAUGCUUUUGGCUCAAUGGGUAAAUAUAAGUUUUUGAUAACCCUUUCUUUUACGGUACACUUAUUACCAGGUAAUUACCUAGAAACAACAUGAAAUUAUCUGGUAAUUACAUGAUAACUACUAAGUCAAUAAUGUCUAGCUACCAGGUAGGUAACCUUCCAUCAUCAUACAAAUCUGAAGCUGAAUUGCUCUGGUAUUUCCAGGAUUUUCUCCGCUUCCUGGAACCACCUCUUGUGCAGUAGCAUUGUACGCAUUUGGUGGGUGAGUCGCUGUGAUAAUGCUCGGCUCAAACAGCGUAUCGCUAUGCAGUCUUCGCACGCCCAUAGGCUGUAUCAAGUGUCAAUCAUAGAAUAAAAAAACCCCAAAUAGCUUUUGAAAAUGGAGCUGCACAGAAAAAAGAAAAAAUAGACAGUAUUGACUUAGUAGUUAUCAUGUAAUUACCAGAUAAUUUCAUGUUGUUACUAGGUAAUUACCUGUUAAUUACCUGGUAAUAAGUGUACCAUAAAAGAAAGCAUUACCAAGUUUUUAAAACAACAGCUCUAUUGAUUAGCCAAUUUAUCAAUAUAUGAUUCCCAUUUCAGCGCUCCAGAGAGUCAGUCAGAGUUUGGGUUUAAUCUUCCUAAACCACAUUUUGUUUAUUUACUGAAUUUUUCUCACAUAACAGCAAUGCCAAACAUAUUCCACAGACCUCAGACCCACAGCCCGACCUUUGACCCAGCCUCAGUCCCAGCAGGUCAUCUGCAGCCAACUGUAAUAAUGUCAGCAGUCCAACAGUGUGGUCAGAAAUCAUCACUGUUUAGGGACAGAAACACAGCUGCUUUCAGUUCACAGAGGGUGGAAUUUCAAACCAAAAUGUGUUUAACGCUUUCAAACAUCCACCGAUACUCCUUUUCAGGCCACAAUGAGAUGGAACUGGAGAGUUUCGAUAACCACCAACCACAGAAAUGGUUUCACUGGGCUGAGACUUUGGUGGUAAGUUAAUAUGCACAUUAUAUCCAGGUUUUUGGAUAUGAGAUUUACGAUGUUGCCAAAAAAUGUUGAGUUAUGUUUGUGUCUCAUUUCUUUGCAUAAACGCAAGUUUGUAUUUUCAGAGUUUUGUCCAAAUGUGAAAAGUUGAGGUGUUCCGUCAGCCUGAAAAAGUCCCUCCUGAUGGCACCAAAGUUGAGGCUGAUUUGAAUAAUUUCUUUGGUAUGAUUAUCUAUUACUCUGUAUGAAGAUGAAGAGGGCCGUGGAUGCAUAAGCUGAAAUAAAACUUAAUUUGUUACCAUUUAACACGACCUUGAAGCUCAAAAGCAACGUUUCAUUUCAAGUUUUUAUAUUGUUAACCUUUCUGAAUCUGACUUUGCUGCAGAAAUAUUAUUUCAGAUCUCCACUCACUCGUCUACAGAUAUCCUCUCUUCACUCCUCUG